AGAAUCAACGCUGGCGGCGUGCCUCAGACAUGCAAGUCGAACGCGAAAGUCUCCUUCGGGGGAUGAGUAGAGUGGCGCACGGGUGAGUAACACGUGGGUAAUCUACCUUCGGAUGGGGAAUAACAACCGGAAACGGUUGCUAAUACCGCAUAAUGCAGCGGCACCUAAUGGUGACAGUUGUUAAAGCGGGGGAUCGAAAGACCUCGCGUCUGAAGAGGAGCCUGCGGCGGAUUAGCUAGUUGGUAGGGUAACGGCCUACCAAGGCUACGAUCC
RNAcentral lists this ribosomal RNA (273 nucleotides) under uncultured soil bacterium. RNAcentral's name for it is "partial 16S ribosomal RNA". It matches the Rfam family "Bacterial small subunit ribosomal RNA", at positions 26 to 282 of the family's 1533-position model. The record is from RNAcentral.